Bombus terrestris (buff-tailed bumblebee) is the source of this 2988-nucleotide RNA transcript. RefSeq lists it as uncharacterized. The record is from RefSeq and is a predicted model, not a curated record. The transcript has 3 exons. NCBI's taxonomy places the organism in Eukaryota, Metazoa, Arthropoda, Insecta, Hymenoptera, Apidae.
UUUCCUUCGUAUCACGUGCAUUUUGUACAAUUUUAUUGAAAUUGGAUUACAAGAGCCAAGCAAAUCGAACAUCAAACGGACUACGCGUCGUGUGUUACUUUAUAGGAAAAUCACGACAAUGUCUGUAACAUUCGUAGUAUUUUACGAUCCUAUCUACGAUAGCAAUUAAAAGUUCAUCAAACAGAUGAUUACAUCACGUACAAGCCAUUUGAAAGUCAAAUUGUUCCAUUUUCCGAAAAUUUAUUCUUUCUAACUCUUUAAGAGUAUUACAUCGUGGCUUAUUAACAUACUAAAUAAUAAUUGACUGUUCGAAUAGUUUGAUGAUUUUUGGAAAGUACGUGUCCCUGAUAAAUAUAACUUCUAUGCACACUUCCAAAUCCGUUUGAAAUUUCACCGAUACGAUCAAGUUAAGCGUGUCUCGCUACAGUGCUGCAAUGAUCAUUUCGAAAUGCUUCGUAUAUCAUAUACGCAAAAAGUUUCCAGCAACGUUGAAACAGCUUCGCGAGCCACGUGUAAUUUAUUUAUAAAAGAUUUUUGCAACUGUCGAGACAUCUUGGUAUCUGUUAAUAAUCGUUGAGAUAUCAUUGCAAUCAAGUAAUUGCACUGUAUCAUACGCGAUAACGAAGUUACUCGAUUAUUCGAAUGGUAUGUACUGGGAUUAGUUUCGAUGGAUGUUUGAAUGAUGACGGAAUAUUUGGCCAGCAUAAGCACUGAUCCCUUCCAUAUCGAUCGCGUUUAUCGAUAUUUGAUAAAGAGGUCGUUUGCAAAUUACAUUUACCGUCUACUGUUGCUCACGAAAUUAUUCCAACUCUGAUACGUGCUUCUUUAUAAAUAUAUCGCGUGUGUACGUGUAUGUUACAUAUUAUAUUACAUAUCGCAUAUUACAUAUUAUAUUGCAUUUUAAGUAACAAGAUAUUUAGUGCGAGUGUAUAUUUUGCAGAAAUUCCAAACGUGAUUAAACAGUCAAUUAUCCAUCACAUCGAUGCAUCUCAAUGUUCAAUGGGACGGUAUUUAGCGUCUAUAACAUGUUGAAGAUCUUUAUGGUGUAUCUCGUGGAGGAAAUUAAUUUCACGAAAUUAAUUAAACAGUCAAUUAUCUGUUGUACCGAUACAUCUUGAUAUUCAAUGGAAUAAUUUUUGAUAUUUAUUGAUGAUUUCAAAUUCUACCAAUGUGAUCGGGAUAGUCGUGUUUCGUUACAAAACGAACAAAAUCCCGAAGUCUCGUGUAACGGGCUAUAGGAGGCGUUGGUGCGUUCUUUAAAACAGAAUAACUUUUCAAAAAUUGAGUCAAACAAUUUGUUUCUUUCCUUUUUUCUUUUUUUUUUUUUUUACGAGUUAGACUCAUUGGAAAGAUUAACAAUAGGUUACGUGUAAAGAAAUGUUGAAAGAAGUACAAUUAGUCGGAAUAGCGAAGAAGGAAGUAAAGGUAGCUUUUUACAACUUUUCUAGCUGGACCUGUAACGAAGAUUUAAAUAACGCAUUUCGAAGAUUUCCUCUAACUCGUCGAGCAAAAUUCAAAUGGUUCGGUCCAGAGUUGCAGACGAGUUAUUUCGUUCGAAUGAACGUACGAAACGAAAGAUAUUUUUACGGCGAGUGUCGGACUAUUUUAGCUUUCGAGGCAUUGUAAGUUGAAUUUUAGUUGCGGUGUCGACAAAUCAUUGAUUCAGUGACAGUGAAUUUUCUUUUUUCUGGGUGUGAUGCGAAUGCGCAGAAACUUUGAAACGUUCCCGCUGAACGAACAGGACCUUCCGGCUGCCAUGGAUAUUGAUUUUCCAUGGGCUUCAAGGUUUCUGGAGCAGCUGUACCCAUCCAGCGCAGACUCUGGCUAUUCUCAAUAUGGCUGUCUAUUGUACCCAAAUCCGCUCGUUUUGCGUUGCAACGCGCUCGCCGCCAUACACCAGCAUGCGAUCAAUGCGCCAAGGACAUCAGCCGAUCGCAAUUUAAACAGCCGAAUUUAUUUUCGAAUGUGACGCGCUAGACGUUAUCAACAUGGCCGAUACAUGUACCCUGUCACGUACUUCCUGAUCGUCGCGUCUAUCUCCAUGGUCGCCAACUGUUAACUACGGAACAUCGAACUCACGCAGCGUCGGAACGAGCAAACGAUUUAUGGUGUCAUCAGUGUGAUACAAUGGAAGAUGGAGAGAGAUGCGCCAAUCUGACCGGAAACUUCACCACUUUCGGGCACAAGUGCACUGGUGAUAAAAGGACCUGUAUGGUAAUGACAAAUGAUAACAGCGAUUCGAACGCUUGUUGAUUAUACACAGGUCACGCACGUGUUUCAGCAGAUGUUUGAUAUUUUGCUUUGAUCGCGUGCUUUUAAAGCAAACAGAAUAUAGCAAACAGCUAGCUAAAAGCGAUAUUAGUUAUCGUCAACACGAGAGCGAGAGAAGGCUGUUCAAGAUAGAGACACAGUUUCAUUUCGUUCAUAACGCGAUUAGUGUUUGGAAAUGUUCAAUAUAGUCGAUCAAUUCAGUUUCAUAAUAAUUACGUACUUUAUUGAAAUUGAAUCCGCUUUAUAGGAACAUAUGUACAUGGUGUACACAUUUGAGGGAAUAUGCAAAUGCAAUUUUUUAUUUGUUCUUCUUAUUUAUUGGUAAUCAACAAUGAUAUUGGAUAUGAUAUAAUUGUACAGUUUGCACAUACACGGCAAAAAUAUUACGAAAUCCGUAAUCGAUAUUAGCCGACCGAAUUAACAAUGAACGAACCGUAUUCUCUGGAAAUGAUGCGAGAUAUUCUGGAAAAUUGAUAUUCCCUCGACUAAAAAUAUGUUACGUUCACACUCACUCGUGUUCGUUACAAGUUCCAAUGUGAAAUGUCAUACAGAGUGAAACAAGGAAUUGUUGCAAAUAUUAAUUUAAUUUUAGUAUCAAGAAUCAUUCUACGUACAUGUAGAAUUCUUUCUCAUCUUUUCUUUUCAGUCUUCUUUUUUCUCUUUUCGCUCGAUACUAUCAAGUUCGUGGUUUAAUGCUGCCCAAAAUGAGCUCGUACU